Molecule: ribosomal RNA, 485 nt
Filed under: Streptococcus sp. oral taxon C65
Lineage: Bacteria; Bacillati; Bacillota; Bacilli; Lactobacillales; Streptococcaceae
Description: bacterial SSU rRNA
Rfam family: Bacterial small subunit ribosomal RNA
Source: RNAcentral
GACGAACGCUGCGGCGUGCCUAAUACAUGCAAGUAGAACGCUGAAGAGAGGAGCUUGCUCUUCUUGGAUGAGUUGCGAACGGGUGAGUAACGCGUAGGUAACCUGCCUUGUAGCGGGGGAUAACUAUUGGAAACGAUAGCUAAUACCGCAUAACAAUGGAUGACACAUGUCAUUUAUUUGAAAGGGGCAAUUGCUCCACUACAAGAUGGACCUGCGUUGUAUUAGCUAGUAGGUGAGGUAACGGCUCACCUAGGCGACGAUACAUAGCCGACCUGAGAGGGUGAUCGGCCACACUGGGACUGAGACACGGCCCAGACUCCUACGGGAGGCAGCAGUAGGGAAUCUUCGGCAAUGGGGGCAACCCUGACCGAGCAACGCCGCGUGAGUGAAGAAGGUUUUCGGAUCGUAAAGCUCUGUUGUAAGUCAAGAACGAGUGUGAGAGUGGAAAGUUCACACUGUGACGGUAGCUUACCAGAAAGGGACGG